AGCGAACGCUGGCGGCAGGCCUAACACAUGCAAGUCGAACGAACCUUUCGGGGUUAGUGGCGGACGGGUGAGUAACACGUGGGAACGUGCCUUUAGGUUCGGAAUAACUCAGGGAAACUUGUGCUAAUACCGAAUGUGCCCUUCGGGGGAAAGAUUAAUCGCCUUUAGAGCGGCCCGCGUCUGAUUAGCUAGUUGGUUGAGGUAAUGGCUCACCAAGGCGACGAUCAGUAGCUGGUCUGAGAGGAUGAUCAGCCACAUUGGGACUGAGACACGGCCCAAACUCCUACGGGAGGCAGCAGUGGGGAAUCUUGCGCAAUGGGCGAAAGCCUGACGCAGCCAUGCCGCGUGAAUGAUGAAGGUCUUAGGAUUGUAAAAUUCUUUCACCGGGGACGAUAAUGACGUUACCCGGAGAAGAAGCCCCGGCUAACUUCGUG
This 434-nucleotide ribosomal RNA is filed under the name uncultured bacterium. RNAcentral's name for it is "partial 16S ribosomal RNA". It matches the Rfam family "Bacterial small subunit ribosomal RNA", at positions 29 to 507 of the family's 1533-position model. The record is from RNAcentral.